Trametes polyzona is the source of this 86-nucleotide non-coding RNA. The record is from the annotation of a GenBank genome assembly. NCBI's taxonomy places the organism in Eukaryota, Fungi, Basidiomycota, Agaricomycetes, Polyporales, Polyporaceae.
GGCCCAAUGGUCUAGAGGUAAGAUACUUGCUUUGGGAGCACAGCCUCAAUUGCAAGGGAUCCCGGGUUCGAAUCCCGGUUGGGCCC